RNAcentral lists this ribosomal RNA (253 nucleotides) under uncultured bacterium. RNAcentral's name for it is "partial 16S ribosomal RNA". It matches the Rfam family "Bacterial small subunit ribosomal RNA", at positions 524 to 776 of the family's 1533-position model. The record is from RNAcentral.
UACAGAGCUCUCAAGCGUUGUUCGGAUUCAUUGGGCGUAAAGGGUGCGUAGGCGGCGCGGUAAGUCGGGUGUGAAAUCUCGGGGCUUAACUCCGAAACUGCAUUCGAUACUGCCGUGCUUGAGGACUGGAGAGGAGACUGGAAUUUACGGUGUAGCGGUGAAAUGCGUAGAUAUCGUAAGGAAGACCAGUGGCGAAGGCGGGUCUCUGGACAGUUCCUGACGCUGAGGCACGAAGGUCAGGGGAGCAAACGGG